UUUAAAUGUUCAUUACGUAGAACUGAAUUCAAAAUUUUGGGACAAUUUUUCUAGCGGUAAGGGAACAACCAUUUGACUUCAAAAGGGGGGGGGGGGGGUGGGGUGGGUUUGGAAAUAUUCCGAUCCCCAAUUUGAUAAAAAAAAAAUGAUCAUACAGAUGAUAAAAGAAAUAUUCUGAAUCAAAGAGUUUCCCCAUACAUUAUAGUGUUAAAUAUUGAAAAAAAAUGUAUUUGAUCACCAGCAUCGAAAAAAAGGAAUAAAAACGUACGCGCGAAAAAAAAAAUCUUACUCAGAUAAAAAAAAAAUAACCCUCCCCC
This 317-nucleotide long non-coding RNA is filed under the name Mytilus galloprovincialis (Mediterranean mussel). The record is from RNAcentral. Lineage: Eukaryota; Metazoa; Mollusca; Bivalvia; Mytilida; Mytilidae.